Molecule: long non-coding RNA, 3009 nt
Organism: Acanthochromis polyacanthus (spiny chromis)
Lineage: Eukaryota; Metazoa; Chordata; Actinopteri; Pomacentridae
Exons: 2
Source: RefSeq, a predicted model, not a curated record
UUAAACAAACUCCCGGCACUCCUUAGUUUCUGCGUAGCCUCCAGGGCAUUUCUCCACUGCGGUUAACUCCCAAUUUAAUGUGUAAUUACAGCUUUUGUCCUGAGUGCGUCUCAAAUCCUGACGAUUAGACCUGCAGACUGUAACCAGCGAGACAUCAAACCUCUCUGUAGAAGCCUGUAAAAGCUGCAGAGAGGCAGCUGUGGGUGUUUUCUAGCCGCUGCCAGUUUUUUAAAGGUGUGAUCUGGCAUCGAGGGCCGAGAGGAUGUUUUGCUUCCCACCAUCCCAUGUUUCUGAGCGGCCGUAUCCGAUGGCCAGGUUGUUACCGGUGGAGGGUUUGUUUAGUCAGCUGCAGCGCCGACGGCUUUGAGGAGGUGAUGAUGGUGGAUGUGGUUCGCUGCUGCCACCUGCUCGCCUCUUUAAGAUCUAAUCAGCAGCCGGCCGCAAAUUAUGACCGAUUGUUGGAGCUCCUGGUAACACUGAAUUUAAAGCUGCAGCUCGGAGGCCUCAGAACUCAACCUGACAGGUGAAUCUGCUCCAAGGUUUCCCUUUCUACCUUUGAUCUGCUUUGAAAGCUCCAUAAUUGGGUUUAAUUUUCUGCAGUCAGUCACUUCACGAGGCGUCGGCCACCGUUUCUGGAACAACACGACUCAUUUAUUUAUUCUGAGCUGCUCGGUUUAUACAACAAACGUUCAUUGACACCAACAACCGGACGACUGUCUCGAAGCUCCCGCUGCUUCCUGGGUGAAACUCCGAGCCGUUGUCUGGAAAUUCCUUCGCUUUUGUCGGAGCUUCUUGGACGAGGAGGAAGACGAGGGCUUGUCAUGGUGUUGAUUUCUGCUGAGCCGCUGCCAAAGACGCCCUGCGGGGAAACUUUCCUUUAUUUUGCUCCUUUGGCUUUCAGGAAUUCCAGUUAUUUGAUAUCUGUAAAGUACAGCAGCCUCCAUUCUAAGCUGUCUACACACUGUAAAAAAUUAAUGCAAAUUUAACUAGAAGUUCUUGGAAAAUGUGCAGAUAUUUUACAAAUGUUCUGUGAAAUUUCAGAUGAUAUAUGAUAAUUUGCUUGUUAUUUUGCUGAUAUUUGCUGUUAUUUGAAUGAAAAAUGUUAUUUCGAUGACUGAAAAAUGGUAAAUAAUUGUAAUUUAACUUCUAAUUUAACUAUAAAUCCUAAAUAAUAAUCAUAAUGAUGAUAGAUUUUAGUGUCUACAGUGAACUUUGAAAACUAAAUUUUGUCACUUUUUUUGACCAAAACUGAGGUUUGAAGCUUUUUCUAAACAGGAUUUUGCAAUUUUUCUGAUAUAUUUGAUGUUAUUUGAAAGAACAAUUAUGUUUUUCAAUGACUGAAAAAUGGUAAAUAAUUUAAAAUUUACUCCUAAGUUGUCUCUGCUUCUUGACGCAGACAGUUUCUAGUGCAUAAAGUAGUUUUUUGAGGUCUUUAUAAACAGAUUUUUGUGGCUUUGUUGUGCUUAUAUGACUGUUUGUGAUAUGCAAAUUCAUUUGACUUUUUCUAUCAGGGCUUGGUGAUUUCCAACUUAUUUCCAAUCCCUUUUAUGUCAUUUAUCUCUCCAUAUUCACAGAAAGACACUGUGUUGCUGAAUGUUUGCAGUCUGAAUGCACAGAGGUUGUAUUUUUCGUGCUUCUUUUGUACUUUUCAGGCAUUUUUUUGUCGUUAUUGAUGCCCCGGUUUCCAGUUUUUGUCUUUUUUUCACAUCAAAUUUCAACAUUUUUUCCCCUAAAAAGCAGGAGAAUUUAAUAUUUUCAGCCUAGCUUUAUCAGUUUUUCUCUCUCAUUUCAUCUCUGAGCUUCAAAAAGUUAUGUGCAGCUGCAAGAAGACUCCUCUAUCAGAAUGUUCAGCAGCUUUUAAGGCCCUUUUGAAUUUACUUCUUCGAAAAAAAGCAAAAGAAGUCAAUUAUCGUUCAUAUUUUGGGUACUAAUUGUUCUCUAUUGGUUCUCUUCUUUCAUAUUAGGGCUGAAAGCAGUGAUAAGUACAGCCGCUCAGUGGAUUUAAAUCCUGUAGCGUUGUGCUGCUGCCAUCUGCUGGUUCGUUUAAUUAUUACAGGAGAUAAAACGUGACGGAUGAGGCCUCUAAUGGAACCAGAUUCUCCAUGUUUGUCCCUCACUGCUGCACUUAGGAUGUUUCCUGCACCUUGAGUAAAGUUUUUAUGGCUGAAAAUGUCUGAAACAAACUGCGGCGUCAGCUUUUCCUGAGGGGAGUUUGACUUUUUUUUGUCAGAGAGAUAAUUUUUCAACAUUUGAACUUCUUAAAUAUCACAUUUGAUUGUUCCUUGUGUUGAAAAACGAGCCACAAAUGAGGUUGUGCUGCAAACAGCCGGUCCUUUAAUGCACUCGUCUGCAUUCGCUUCACAAAAAGAUUGUAAGAAGAUAAAUAUUUAGUUGUUUGCAAUAAAUUAGAGAAAGUAUUAUUACUGUUUUGCUUUGCACAUUUCUGGCUGCUGUAAAAAUGCUUUCUGCACAGUGAUACGAGGGAUAUUUAACCAUAGAGUUAGUAUUAAAUUGAUUAUUAUUAUUAAUAAAAUAAUAUUUUAAAAUCUGUCAUAAAAAUCACUAAAAAUCUGCCACAAGGAUUCCAGAAAAAAACAUUAAAAAUACUGGAAUAGUGUAAUAAUAAAAACAAUGAAAAUAACAGGAAAUGUCUCUACAAUAAUUAUAUUUUUGGCUAAUUAAAUGCAAUAAAUCGAAUUUUACAGUCACACAUUGUCAAACAAAAAAUUAUUAUUAACUAUUAUAAUAAUUUUCAAAAGUACAGAUUUCAAAAAUAUUUUUUCUUUAACAUGUAAAUUAGUACUUUUUCUAUGGUUUUACUAGUUAUUUGUAAUUUAACAAAACGGAAAAUUAACGGUAAAUGGUCAAAAAUGACAUCUUAAAACCUGUUUAAGAAAAGCUAGUAUCCUUACUUCUUAAGUUCAGUGCUGUUGCUAUAUAAAAUUAAUGAAUUUAUAUCGGUUUUCUUGUCCAAAUUGUUGUUUUAUUGGAUUAAAUCUCCAUAUUUUG